ACAUCCAGCGAAUUCGGUAGAGAUACCUUAGUGCCUUCGGGAACGCUGAGACAGGUGCUGCAUGGCUGUCGUCAGCUCGUGUUGUGAAAUGUUGGGUUAAGUCCCGCAACGAGCGCAACCCUUAUCCUUUGUUGCCAGCGGUCCGGCCGGGAACUCAAAGGAGACUGCCAGUGAUAAACUGGAGGAAGGCGGGGAUGACGUCAAGUCAUCAUGGCCCUUACGAGUAGGGCUACACACGUGCUACAAUGGCGCAUACAAAGAGAAGCGACCUCGCGAGAGCAAGCGGACCUCAUAAAGUGCGUCGUAGUCCGGAUUGGAGUCUGCAACUCGACUCCAUGAAGUCGGAAUCGCUAGUAAUCGUAGAUCAGAAUGCUACGGUGAAUACGUUCCCGGGCCUUGUACACACCGCCCGUCACACCAUGGGAGUGGGUUGCAAAAGAAGUAGGUAGCUUAACCUUCGGGAGGGCGCUUACCACUUGUGAUUCAUGACUGGGGUGAAGUCGUAACAAGGUAAGCGUAGUGCU
RNAcentral lists this ribosomal RNA (524 nucleotides) under uncultured bacterium. RNAcentral's name for it is "bacterial SSU rRNA". It matches the Rfam family "Bacterial small subunit ribosomal RNA", at positions 984 to 1509 of the family's 1533-position model. The record is from RNAcentral.